Transfer RNA from Aureobasidium namibiae CBS 147.97, 92 nucleotides. It matches the Rfam family "tRNA". From Rfam's summary of the family: Transfer RNA (tRNA) molecules are approximately 80 nucleotides in length. Their secondary structure includes four short double-helical elements and three loops (D, anti-codon, and T loops). The record is from Rfam. NCBI's taxonomy places the organism in Eukaryota, Fungi, Ascomycota, Dothideomycetes, Dothideales, Saccotheciaceae.
GCCGGGGUAGCUCAAUCGGUAGAGCGUGUGGCUCUUAUCAUUCUCUGAUAUUCCAAACCUCAAGGUCGUGGGUUCGAGCCCCACCUUCGGCU